RNAcentral lists this ribosomal RNA (497 nucleotides) under uncultured bacterium. RNAcentral's name for it is "partial 16S ribosomal RNA". It matches the Rfam family "Bacterial small subunit ribosomal RNA", at positions 28 to 507 of the family's 1533-position model. The record is from RNAcentral.
GAUGAACGCUGGCGGCGUGCCUAAUACAUGCAAGUCGAGCGAACAGACGAGGAGCUUGCUCCUCUGACGUUAGCGGCGGACGGGUGAGUAACACGUGGAUAACCUACCUAUAAGACUGGGAUAACUUCGGGAAACCGGAGCUAAUACCGGAUAAUAUAUUGAACCGCAUGGUUCAAUAGUGAAAGACGGUUUUGCUGUCACUUAUAGAUGGAUCCGCGCCGCAUUAGCUAGUUGGUAAGGUAACGGCUUACCAAGGCAACGAUGCGUAGCCGACCUGAGAGGGUGAUCGGCCACACUGGAACGGAGACACGGUCCAGACUCCUAAGGGAGGCAGCAGAAGGGAAUCUUCCGCAAUGGGCGAAAGCCUGACGGAGCAACGCCGCGUGAGUGAUGAAGGUCUUCGGAUCGUAAAACUCUGUUAUUAGGGAAGAACAAAUGUGUAAGUAACUAUGCACGUCUUGACGGUACCUAAUCAGAAAGCCACGGCUAACUACGUG